CUGGCUAGUGAUGUGAUUGGUUCAGCUUCAGGUAAAACACCCAAGCAAAAAAUAAAAUUCAGUUAUAAACAUGUUAUCAUCUUCGCGAUCGUCGGUUAUUGUUGUUAUCAUUUCUCUAUUGGGCUGCUACUUGAAUGUAUUAAAGGAUGUAACUACUUAUCAUUGUGAACAGGAUGAGGCUUAUUUAAAUAAUCUCUCACAUUGUCAUUUGAUCGUAACUAUUAUAGUAGAUACAAUAUGUUUACAUUACAUUGCCAUAGCUUUGGACCGGUAACAUCUGUAACCAAGAUAAACAUUUCAGAUAUGAAUAAAGGAUCAAAACUCGUCAGUUCUCUUAAUUUACAUUGGUGAGAGUCCCUAUAAUUUACGAUGGCACGGUAAAUUUAAAACAAAAACUGAUUGAAUAUAAAAACGUUUCAGCAAUUUAUCUAAUGUCAAACGUGGUACUAUAAAUUCACCAAGUACAUUAGAAGUUUCAAAGUUGGUGUAUUGUACUUAGCAGUGGAUGAGCAGAUGUGAAAGUGUGAAAGAAAUUUCUAGAUCCGAAUCUGAUAUUGAAAAUGUUUCGAAAUAACGUAUACCAUCUUGGAGUUUAAGUCUCGAAUCUGUGGAUAAAAGUUAAUAAAUUAAAAGGUAAUUAAAGCCUAGUGAACAUGACUUCAUUUGGGCGAGUUACGCGUGCGUAGUGAUUUCGCUUUGUUUGACCAAAUAUUUGCUGUAAAUUUGCCAGUUUUACAAAUAACAUUCACAUAAACUGAGCACUCUAACUUUAUUGUUAUCAAAUUAUUUAUUAUUUCACAAAACGCGAAACAAAAGUCCAGUGUAAUGCUACUGAACGUUCUAAGUUUGUGUGUAUAGUUUACUAUUUUGAUGUGUAACUAAAACCAAUAAGUGGACAAUCCAUAUAUUUACUCUUUGAAUUAUUUUUUAUACUGAUAC
Molecule: long non-coding RNA, 939 nt
Organism: Vanessa tameamea
Lineage: Eukaryota; Metazoa; Arthropoda; Insecta; Lepidoptera; Nymphalidae
Exons: 2
Source: RefSeq, a predicted model, not a curated record